This 449-nucleotide ribosomal RNA is filed under the name uncultured bacterium. Its description in RNAcentral is "bacterial SSU rRNA". It matches the Rfam family "Bacterial small subunit ribosomal RNA", at positions 328 to 794 of the family's 1533-position model. The record is from RNAcentral.
UUUCCAGACUCCUACGGGAGGCAGCAGUGGGGAAUAUUGCACAAUGGGGGAAACCCUGAUGCAGCGACGCCGCGUGAGUGAAGAAGUAUUUCGGUAUGUAAAUCUCUAUCAGCAGGGAAGAAAAUGACGGUACCUGACUAAGAAGCCCCGGCUAACUACGUGCCAGCAGCCGCGGUAAUACGUAGGGGGCAAGCGUUAUCCGGAUUUACUGGGUGUAAAGGGAGCGUAGACGGCAGUGCAAGUCUGGAGUGAAAGGCGGAGGCUCAACCCCCGGACUGCUCUGGAAACUGUACGGCUGGAGUGCAGGAGAGGUAAGUGGAAUUCCUAGUGUAGCGGUGAAAUGCGUAGAUAUUAGGAGGAACACCAGUGGCGAAGGCGGCUUACUGGACUGUAACUGACGUUGAGGCUCGAAAGCGUGGGGAGCAAACAGGAUUAGAUACCCUGGUAAA